AUUGAACGCUGGCGGAAUGCUUUACACAUGCAAGUCGAACGGCAGCACGGGGCAACCUGGUGGCGAGUGGCGAACGGGUGAGUAAUACAUCGGAACGUGCCCAAUCGUGGGGAUAACGUAGCGAAAGUUACGCUAAUACCGCAUACGAUCUACGGAUGAAAGCGGGGAUCGCAAGACCUCGCGCGAGUGGAGCGGCCGAUGUCAGAUUAGGUAGUUGGUGGGGUAAAGGCUCACCAAGCCAACGAUCUGUAGCUGGUCUGAGAGGACGACCAGCCACACUGGAACUGAGACACGGUCCAGACUCCUACGGGAGGCAGCAGUGGGGAAUUUUGGACAAUGGGCGCAAGCCUGUUCCAGCCAUUCCGCGUGCAGGAUGAAGGCCUUCGGUUGUAACUGCUUUGUACGGAACGAAACGGCGAGCUCUAAUACAGUUUGCUAAUGACGGUACCGUAAGAAUAAGCACCGGCUAACUACGUGCCAGCAGCCGCGGUAA
This 493-nucleotide ribosomal RNA is filed under the name uncultured bacterium. RNAcentral describes it as "bacterial SSU rRNA". It matches the Rfam family "Bacterial small subunit ribosomal RNA", at positions 30 to 523 of the family's 1533-position model. The record is from RNAcentral.